Molecule: ribosomal RNA, 252 nt
Filed under: uncultured bacterium
Lineage: Bacteria
Description: partial 16S ribosomal RNA
Rfam family: Bacterial small subunit ribosomal RNA
Source: RNAcentral
UACGUAGGGACCAAGCGUUGUUCGGAUUUACUGGGCGUAAAGGGCGCGUAGGCGGCGUGGUAAGUCACUUGUGAAAUCUCUGAGCUUAACUCAGAACGGCCAAGUGAUACUGCUGUGCUAGAGUGCAGAAGGGGCAAUCGGAAUUCUUGGUGUAGCGGUGAAAUGCGUAGAUAUCAAGAGGAACACCUGAGGUGAAGACGGGUUGCUGGGCUGACACUGACGCUGAGGAGCGAAGCUAGGGGAGCAAACGGG